UUUCUUUGCUGGCGACCGGCGCACGGGUGAGUAACACGUAUCCAACCUGCCCUUUACUCGGGGAUAGCCUUUCGAAAGAAAGAUUAAUACCCGAUGGCAUAGUUCUUCCGCAUGGUAGAACUAUUAAAGAAUUUCGGUCAUCGAUGGGGAUGCGUUCCAUUAGGUUGUUGGCGGGGUAACGGCCCACCAAGACUACGAUGGAUAGGGGUUCUGAGAGGAAGGUCCCCCACAUUGGAACUGAGACACGGUCCAA
This 253-nucleotide ribosomal RNA is filed under the name uncultured bacterium. Its description in RNAcentral is "partial 16S ribosomal RNA". It matches the Rfam family "Bacterial small subunit ribosomal RNA", at positions 80 to 334 of the family's 1533-position model. The record is from RNAcentral.